This 465-nucleotide ribosomal RNA is filed under the name uncultured bacterium. RNAcentral describes it as "partial 16S ribosomal RNA". It matches the Rfam family "Bacterial small subunit ribosomal RNA", at positions 28 to 507 of the family's 1533-position model. The record is from RNAcentral.
GACGAACGCUGGCGGCGUGCUUAACACAUGCAAGUCGUACGGUAAGGCCCUUUCGGGGGUACACGAGUGGGGAACGGGUGAGUAACACGUGAGUAACCUGCCCACAACUUUGGGAUAACGCUAGGAAACUGGUGCUAAUACUGGAUAUGUGCUCCUGCUGCAUGGUGGGGGUUGGAAAGCUCCGGCGGUUGUGGAUGGACUCGCGGCCUAUCAGCUUGUUGGUGGGGUAGUGGCCUACCAAGGCGGCGACGGGUAGCCGGCCUGAGAGGGUGACCGGCCACAUUGGGACUGAGAUACGGCCCAGACUCCUACGGGAGGCAGCAGUGGGGAAUAUUGCACAAUGGGCGCAAGCCUGAUGCAGCAACGCCGCGUGCGGGAUGACGGCCUUCGGGUUGUAAACCGCUUUCAGCAGGGACGAAGCUUUUUGUGACGGUACCUGCAGAAGAAGCACCGGCUAACUACGUG